GCAUAAACCAGUUACAGCAAUUGAUGGAUGCCUUGGCUUCAUCAGGCGACGAAGGACGCAGCAAGCUGCGAUAAGCUUCGGGGAGCGGCACGCACGCUAUAUAUCCGAAGAUUUCCGAAUGGGGAAACCCGGCACCUCUCAUAGGGUGUCACUUCGAUCUGAAUACAUAGGGUCGAUAGAGCAAUACGUGGAGAAGUGAAACAUCUCAGUAUCCACAGGAAAAGAACGAGAAUCGAUUCCGUAAGUAGUGGCGAGCGAAAGCGGAAGAGCCCAAACCGCCGGGAUUUAUCCUGGCGGGGUUAUAGGACCAUAAUGUGAGACCACAGAAGUUAGACGAACACUCUGGAAAGUGUGACCAUAGCGGGUGACAGUCCCGUAGUUUAAAACUCGAGUGGCUCUAUUGGUAUCCUGAGUAGCACCGUACACGUGAAAUUCGGUGUGAAUUCGUGGCGACCACG
RNAcentral lists this non-coding RNA (458 nucleotides) under Beta vulgaris subsp. vulgaris (sugar beet). RNAcentral's name for it is "Bacterial large subunit ribosomal RNA". It matches the Rfam family "Bacterial large subunit ribosomal RNA", at positions 1 to 457 of the family's 2925-position model. The record is from Rfam by way of RNAcentral. Lineage: Eukaryota; Viridiplantae; Streptophyta; Magnoliopsida; Caryophyllales; Amaranthaceae.